RNAcentral lists this ribosomal RNA (492 nucleotides) under uncultured bacterium. RNAcentral's name for it is "partial 16S ribosomal RNA". It matches the Rfam family "Bacterial small subunit ribosomal RNA", at positions 29 to 507 of the family's 1533-position model. The record is from RNAcentral.
AGUGAACGCUGGCGGUAGGCCUAACACAUGCAAGUCGAACGGCAGCACAGUAAGAGCUUGCUCUUACGGGUGGCGAGUGGCGGACGGGUGAUGAAUACAUCGGAAUCUACUUUUUCGUGGGGGAUAACGUAGGGAAACUUACGCUAAUCCCGCAUACGACCUACGGGUGAAAGCAGGGGAUCUUCGGACCUUGCGCGAUUGAAUGAGCCGAUGUCGGAUUAGCUAGUUGGCGGGGUAAAGGCCCACCAAGGCGACGAUCCGUAGCUGGUCUGAGAGGAUGAUCAGCCACACUGGAACUGAGACACGGUCCAGACUCCUACGGGAGGCAGCAGUGGGGAAUAUUGGACAAUGGGCGCAAGCCUGAUCCAGCCAUACCGCGUGGGUGAAGAAGGCCUUCGGGUUGUAAAGCCCUUUUGUUGGGAAAGAAAAGCAGCAGGUUAAUACCCCGCUGUUCUGACGGUACCCAAAGAAUAAGCACCGGCUAACUUCGUG